Molecule: ribosomal RNA, 369 nt
Filed under: uncultured microorganism
Description: bacterial SSU rRNA
Rfam family: Bacterial small subunit ribosomal RNA
Source: RNAcentral
GAGUUUGAUCCUGGCUCAGGAUGAACGCUGGCGGCGUGCUUAACACAUGCAAGUCGAACGAAGCACUUGAGAUUGAAUCUUCGGAUGAGAACUCUUGUGACUGAGUGGCGGACGGGUGAGUAACGCGUGGGUAACCUACCUCAUACAGGGGGAUAACAGUUGGAAACGACCGCUAAUACCGCAUAACCCGCUAGUAUCGCAUGAUACGGACGGAAAAGAUUUAUCGGUGUGAGAUGGACCCGCGUCUGAUUAGCCAGUUGGCAGGGUAACGGCCUACCAAAGCAACGAUCAGUAGCCGGCCUGAGAGGGUGAACGGCCACGAUUGGGACUGAGACACGGCCCAAACUCCUACGGGAGGCAGCAGUGGGG